RNAcentral lists this ribosomal RNA (857 nucleotides) under Escherichia coli. RNAcentral describes it as "partial 23S ribosomal RNA". It matches the Rfam family "Bacterial large subunit ribosomal RNA", at positions 888 to 1744 of the family's 2925-position model. The record is from RNAcentral. Lineage: Bacteria; Pseudomonadati; Pseudomonadota; Gammaproteobacteria; Enterobacterales; Enterobacteriaceae.
AUUCAUCUCCGGGGGUAGAGCACUGUUUCGGCAAGGGGGUCAUCCCGACUUACCAACCCGAUGCAAACUGCGAAUACCGGAGAAUGUUAUCACGGGAGACACACGGCGGGUGCUAACGUCCGUCGUGAAGAGGGAAACAACCCAGACCGCCAGCUAAGGUCCCAAAGUCAUGGUUAAGUGGGAAACGAUGUGGGAAGGCCCAGACAGCCAGGAUGUUGGCUUAGAAGCAGCCAUCAUUUAAAGAAAGCGUAAUAGCUCACUGGUCGAGUCGGCCUGCGCGGAAGAUGUAACGGGGCUAAACCAUGCACCGAAGCUGCGGCAGCGACGCUGAUGCGUUGUUGGGUAGGGGAGCGUUCUGUAAGCCUGCGAAGGUGUGCUGUGAGGCAUGCUGGAGGUAUCAGAAGUGCGAAUGCUGACAUAAGUAACGAUAAAGCGGGUGAAAAGCCCGCUCGCCGGAAGACCAAGGGUUCCUGUCCAACGUUAAUCGGGGCAGGGUGAGUCGACCCCUAAGGCGAGGCCGAAAGGCGUAGUCGAUGGGAAACAGGUUAAUAUUCCUGUACUUGGUGUUACUGCGAAGGGGGGACGGAGAAGGCUAUGUUGGCCGGGCGACGGUUGUCCCGGUUUAAGCGUGUAGGCUGGUUUUCCAGGCAAAUCCGGAAAAUCAAGGCUGAGGCGUGAUGACGAGGCACUACGGUGCUGAAGCAACAAAUGCCCUGCUUCCAGGAAAAGCCUCUAAGCAUCAGGUAACAUCAAAUCGUACCCCAAACCGACACAGGUGGUCAGGUAGAGAAUACCAAGGCGCUUGAGAGAACUCGGGUGAAGGAACUAGGCAAAAUGGUGCCGUAACUUCGGGAGAA